AGAGUAAACCUUAUAAGCGUUUCUAUAAUAACAACUACACAUUUGUAUCUAUAGUAACCACCACAAGUGUGUAUCUGUAAUAAACACCACAAACGUGUUUCUAUAGUAACCACUACAAGAGUAUUUCUAUAGUUACAGCUGGGUGUUUGUUUUAAUAGUAUCAACUACACAUUUGUUUUUAAAGUAUCCACCAAAAACGACUUUCUAUAGCAACGAAUACACAUUUGUUUCUAUAGUAAUCACCACAACUGUGUUUAUUGACGACUACACAUCUGUCUCCAUAGAAGUACAAAAUGAGUGAAUGACUACAAUCCUGAGGGAAAAAAACAAACACCUUCUGCCAAUUAGAUCUGAGAAUCAACAGUGGACGGUUGGAGUUAUUUUUUCUUGCUUUGACACACCGCCGGUAAAUCUGCAGUCUCCUCGGCAUGUCCGUGGCAGCAGCUAAAUACGAGCAAACAAAGGCACAAACAAAGCGCCUCUUCUCAAUUUUCCAAAUGACUUGUCCAUUUUAUGAGAAUACAUUU
Molecule: long non-coding RNA, 527 nt
Organism: Silurus meridionalis
Lineage: Eukaryota; Metazoa; Chordata; Actinopteri; Siluriformes; Siluridae
Exons: 3
Source: RefSeq, a predicted model, not a curated record